GUAGGUGGCAAGCGUUGUCCGGAAUUAUUGGGCGUAAAGCGCGCGCAGGCGGUUCUUUAAGUCUGAUGUGAAAGCCCACGGGCUCAACCGUGGAGAGUCAUUGGAAACUGGAGAACUUGAGUACAGAAGAGGAAAGCGGAAUUCCACGUGUAGCGGUGAAAUGCGUAGAGAUGUGGAGGAACACCAGUGGCGAAGGCGGCUUUCUGGUCUGUAACUGACGCUGAGGCGCGAAAGCGUGGGGAGCAAACAGGAUUAGAUACCCUGGUAGUCCACGCCGUAAACGAUGAGUGCUAAGUGUUAGGGGGUUUCCGCCCCUUAGUGCUGCAGCUAACGCAUUAAGCACUCCGCCUGGGGAGUACGGCCGCAAAGGCUG
Molecule: ribosomal RNA, 373 nt
Filed under: uncultured organism
Description: partial 16S ribosomal RNA
Rfam family: Bacterial small subunit ribosomal RNA
Source: RNAcentral